GUUGACUUAACUUUAUUCAUAACUUGUUACAACAAGCUCUAAAAAGCUGCAAGAUCACUACUAUUACAUCUUGAGGCUUUACAAAGUACAAAGGUUUUAUAUAUUGCUCCACAUGAUGAUAAGUUGUGAGGCUUAGCUUCAAUAUAGUGACCUUAUCCAUGGAUGGCCUCACCUUUGUAGGAGCAGCACCUGCUGCAACCAUUGUAAUUCCGGCGGCCGCAGCAACCAUAGCGGCAGUAUCAUCCACCACCUCCGCGUCCGCGUCCACCGCCAGGAUAGCCACCACCACCACGGCCGCCAUUAGGAUAUCCGCCACCACCGACAGAGAUUCCGCCACCAGGAACUGGGUAUCCGGCGGCAGGGUAUCUGGCAGGGUAUCCUCCACCGCCGUAUUGAGCUUCAUGUACUUCAUUCUUGUUAUUGGAUUUCUUUG
This 433-nucleotide long non-coding RNA is filed under the name Nicotiana tabacum (common tobacco). Its description in RNAcentral is "long non-coding RNA (NTAB_LNC008787)". Lineage: Eukaryota; Viridiplantae; Streptophyta; Magnoliopsida; Solanales; Solanaceae. The record is from RNAcentral.